UCUAUGAGGAGUUUUGGACGCGGGUCAAAUUCCUUAAAAUCAACUGAAACUAUGAGGCUUAUGCUCUCUGUAUGCUGCGGAAUCAUUUUUGGAUUAAUCAUUGGAAUUUCAUUUCCUUCUAGCUCAUUAACCAAGCUAAACAUAACAUCCAGUAUUAUAAGCAACUUCCCUAUUGCUAGAGACAGAAAUAAUGUUGUUUCAGACGAAAAGCCUGCAGAUCCUUCGAUCAAAACUCAGAAUGCUACAGAUCAGUUGAAGAUUUGGGUCCCAUCAAACCCAAGAGGGGCAGAAAGAUUACCUCCAGG
Molecule: unclassified non-coding RNA, 305 nt
Filed under: Hevea brasiliensis (rubber tree)
Lineage: Eukaryota; Viridiplantae; Streptophyta; Magnoliopsida; Malpighiales; Euphorbiaceae
Source: RNAcentral